Molecule: ribosomal RNA, 449 nt
Filed under: uncultured bacterium
Lineage: Bacteria
Description: bacterial SSU rRNA
Rfam family: Bacterial small subunit ribosomal RNA
Source: RNAcentral
GAUGAACGCUAGCGGCAGGCCUAACACAUGCAAGUCGAGGGAGAAGCUCUUCGGGGCAGAAACCGGCGCACGGGUGCGUAACGCGUAUGCAACCUACCUUUCACAGGGGGAUAGCCCGAAGAAAUUUGGAUUAAUACCCCAUAAUAUUAUUGGAUGGCAUCAUUUGGUAAUUAAAAUUACGAUGGUGAAAGAUGGGCAUGCGUCCUAUUAGCUAGUUGGAGUGGUAACGGCACCCCAAGGCUACGAUAGGUAGGGGUCCUGAGAGGGAGAUCCCCCACACUGGUACUGAGACAGGGACCAGACUCCUACGGGAGGCAGCAGUGAGGAAUAUUGGUCAAUGGUCGGAAGACUGAACCAGCCAUGCCGCGUGCAGGAAGAAUGCCUUAUGGGUUGUAAACUGCUUUUAUAUGGGAAGAAUAAGGAGUACGUGUACUUNGANGACGGUNCCA